GCGGACGCCCGAGGAGGCUGGGGCAGCGGGACGGGAGUCAGAACAGACCUGCGAGCCCAAGGUCCUCGACUCAAGGUCCCAUCGCUGUCCUCCAGCACCACCCGCUGGGCUUCAAGCUUCCCCUGCUGGACAACCAGGGACUCAGGCCGCAGUGCAGAGCUGCUGUGUCCUGGGAGGACAGCGUCACAGGAAGGAUCGCAGGAAAUGGGUGGCGACCACUGUGCCUGUUCAGCCCCUGACCUGGCCUUGCAGAGAUCGUGGGCCCCGUAGACAGGCGGUGUCACGAGUACAGCAGACUACUGAGGCCAGUGGCAGCCAGGCCACAGCACUCGGCGCCAUCCGAGAUGCCGAGGACAUGUUGGAAGAUGCUUCUCCACACAGAGUCCCCUCUGCUCACUUGAGGAGUUGACAGGUGAAUGACUCCUCAGCUCCAGAGCACUCGCUCUUCUUCAGGGACAACUCAGAAAAAAGCAGUCCCGUUAGAACCCACCUUACAGCAUGGAGUGCCAGGAGGCCUUUGUGUGGACAGUUGUUGACAUUUCCAGUGGAAUCCAGGACCACAGCUCAGAUCUCAAACAACACAACACGCAAAAACCAUGACAAACAAGAUGAAGUCUUUCUACGAUAACUUAGAGGACACAGAGGUAUCACCUCCACUGUCAUCCCACCACCAUCACUGCCACCAGGUUACCUCCACCUUCCCACGCAUGCAUCGUCAACAUCACCUCCUCCUCCUCCACCGUCAUGCGGGUCCAUCACCGUGCCACUGCCAUCCGCCACUACAGCCCCAUCACCAGCUCUCUUGCCCUGCGAAGCACUUCUGUUUCUCUGUAACAAGUCAUCUCAUGUGUCGUGGCUUGAAUCAACCACCCUUUCAUCUGCUCUUUUCAAGUGUGUGGAUAUCGGGCUGGCUCAGUGGGCCAGUCCUCUGCUAACUGCCCCAGCCUCAUUAUGUGGCAGCCAUCAGCUGCUGGAGGGGCAGGGUGACCUAAGAAGGUGGAACUUAUGGGUGUUGUGGAGCAGGCUGCUUGCCAGGCACUGUGGCUGUCCUUCAUGUGACCUCUCUGGAAGGCUAACUGGGACAUUGAGCUGGCAUCAGUCUUCCAGGAGAGUGAGGACUAAAGCUGCUGAGAGUUUUGACAUCUGGG
RNAcentral lists this long non-coding RNA (1148 nucleotides) under Heterocephalus glaber (naked mole-rat). Its description in RNAcentral is "lncRNA (ENSHGLG00100048540.1)". Lineage: Eukaryota; Metazoa; Chordata; Mammalia; Rodentia; Bathyergidae. The record is from RNAcentral.